This 2011-nucleotide long non-coding RNA is filed under the name Bos indicus x Bos taurus (hybrid cattle). Its description in RNAcentral is "lncRNA (ENSBIXG00005025249.1)". The record is from RNAcentral. Lineage: Eukaryota; Metazoa; Chordata; Mammalia; Artiodactyla; Bovidae.
AUGUUGAAGUUAAAGACAAAUGAGAAAGUGGGAGACGAGGCUUUUCUGCCUGGGACACACGAAAGACCCGGGGCUAACUUCCCUAAUAAACGAAGAAUUCUUGGAAACCGAUACCGUACAGACCAAAUCGCGCCUGAAAAAUGGGCAAAAAGGGAGGACACUGGCAAUUCACAGAAAAGCACAAAUGGCCGACAGACCUGCGGGACAGAACUCAUGACCCGACUUCCAAAGACCGAAAAACCGAGAGCGCGACUCGCGCGCUUCAGCGGCCGCUCUCCUCACGCGGCCGCGCGUGCCGCCGCCGGGCCGGUCCACCGCCGUCCAGCCGGACGGUUGAUGUGCGGGGCGCAUCGCCGCCUGAGGACCUGUGCGGCGGGAAACGCGGUGGCACCGCGCGGGACAGACGACCAUCGAGGACUCGGUUGUCAGUCACACCGUCGGUCAGGCCGAAGCGUGCAGCCACGACCCGAUUCCGCAGGUCACCAUAGUCUCCGUGUGGAUGGCACCUCCAGCCAUCGAGAAGCUGGAAACGGGGCUGCAGAGACCUGGUUUCCUGUGAAGUCGAUUGCGGACGUGGGACAGCGGCACGCACUCCGGUUGGGGUUCAGUGGGCCGCAGCCCACCCCAGAAGGCCUCAGCUCUCCCCACGGGGGUGUUCCACAGUCUGCCUGCAGCGGCUCCACAUGCAAGGACCUGCCUUGGUUUCGUCCUUAGAAACGUCGCCAGCAUCCGGUGCAGAGUGUCACAGAGCCUUGGUUUGCAUCUGAUAUGGGUGAGUACAUGAAUGGAUGAUUUUUUUUUUUCCUGAAAAUUGGCGUUGAGGCGUCUACUCGUACAUUUAUCCUGCCUUUUCACUGAACGUAUUAUGACAUCUGAUGUUCCUCAAGAGACAAGAGCUUUUAGGCGGAAAGAGUUCAUUUCAUGCAGUGAUCACGUGCAUGCGUCGUAUACACUUGUCGCCAAGUUCUUGCCGUCCCAAAGAGCUGAUAACUGCUCUGUAGAUUUCUGAAUAUUGUGAAUGUUCAUAGACUUUAGAUUCCCAGAAAUGGACUUGCUAGAUCAAAGCACACACACACUUAUGUAUUUAUAAAUGCAUUUUUACUUGAAGGAUAAUUGCUUUGCACUAUUGUGUUGGUCUCUGCCAUACAUCAACAUGAAUCAGCCAUAGGUUUACUUAUGUCCUCUCCCUCUGAACCUCCCUGGUGCCUCCCACCCCAUCCCGCCCCUCUGGGUCGUCCCAGAGCACAGGGUUUGAGCUCCCUGUGUCACACAGCAGGUUUCCACUGGCCGUCUAACUUUACACAUGGUAGUGUCGAUGUUUUGGUACUACUCUCAAUGCAUCCCACCAGCUCCUUCCCCGGCUGCUGUGUCCACAGUCUGCUCUCUACGUCUGUAUCUCCACCGCCGCCCUGCAGAUAGGUUCAUCGGUCCCAUCUUUCUGGACUCCAUAUAUAGCGCUAAUAUGUGUUAUUUGUCUUUCAACCUCUUUCUGACUUACUUCACUCUGUAUAACAGGCUCUAGGCUCACCCAUCUCGUCAGAACUGAGUCAGAAGCAUUCCUUUUUAUGGCCGAGUGAUAUUCCAUUGUGUGUAUGAACCGCAGCUUCUUUACCCACUCAUCUGUCACUGGACGUCUGGGUUGCUUCCAUGUCCUAGAUGCUGUAGAUGCAAGGCACACACACGUUUUAGGCUGUGGUCCCUAUGACCACAAUCGUGCUCGACCACCAGCAUUUGAGAAUGUCCGUUUCCUUGGAACCUUCCUGACUUCCCUCCACGUUGGCACUUGGACACGUCGCCUUCCCCGAGCCCUGCUGCGCCGGGCGUCUGUUUUGAUAUCAGAACUGUGAUGCGGGGUCUGUGUUGUGUUUAUCGCACAUGUGAACAUCCUCCUGUAAACAGUCGAUUCACAUCCUUUGCCCACUUUUCUACUUUGAGUGUUCAGCUUUCUCUCUGACGUGGCUCUUCACGUACUGGUGAAAUAAAGCCCUCUACUGUCGCCUCUGUUUCUACA